ACAGGCUUAUCACAUGCAAGUCGAGGGGCAGCACAGGUAGCAAUACCGGGUGGCGACCGGCGCACGGGUGAGUAACGCGUAUGCAACUUGCCUAUCAGAGGGGGAUAACCCGGCGAAAGUCGGACUAAUACCGCAUGAAGCAGGGAUCCCGCAUGGGAAUAUUUGCUAAAGAUUCAUCGCUGAUAGAUAGGCAUGCGUUCCAUUAGGCAGUUGGCGGGGUAACGGCCCACCAAACCGACGAUGGAUAGGGGUUCUGAGAGGAAGGUCCCCCACAUUGGUACUGAGACACGGACCAAACUCCUACGGGAGGCAGCAGUGAGGAAUAUUGGUCAAUGGGCGUAAGCCUGAACCAGCCAAGUCGCGUGAGGGAUGAAGGUUCUAUGGAUCGUAAACCUCUUUUAUAAGGGAAUAAAGUGCGGGACGUGUCCCGUUUUGUAUGUACCUUAUGAAUAAGGAUCGGCUAACUCCGUGCCAGCAGCCGCGGUAAUACGGAGGAUCCGAGCGUUAUCCGGAUUUAUUGGGUUUAAAGGGUGCGUAGGCGGCCUUUUAAGUCAGCGGUGAAAGUCUGUGGCUCAACCAUAGAAUUGCCGUUGAAACUGGGGGGCUUGAGUAUGUUUGAGGCAGGCGGAAUGCGUGGUGUAGCGGUGAAAUGCAUAGAUAUCACGCAGAACCCCGAUUGCGAAGGCAGCCUGCCAAGCCAUUACUGACGCUGAUGCACGAAAGCGUGGGGAUCAAACAGGAUUAGAUACCCUGGUAGUCCACGCAGUAAACGAUGAUCACUAGCUGUUUGCGAUACACUGUAAGCGGCACAGCGAAAGCGUUAAGUGAUCCACCUGGGGAGUACGCCGGCAACGGUGAAACUCAAAGGAAUUGACGGGGGCCCGCACAAGCGGAGGAACAUGUGGUUUAAUUCGAUGAUACGCGAGGAACCUUACCCGGGUUUGAACGCAUUCGGACCGAGGUGGAAACACCUUUUCUAGCAAUAGCCGUUUGCGAGGUGCUGCAUGGUUGUCGCCAGCUCGUGCCGUGAGGUGUCGGCUUAAGUGCCAUAACGAGCGCAACCCUUGCCACUAGUUACUAACAGGUAAAGCUGAGGACUCUGGUGGGACUGCCAGCGUAAGCUGCGAGGAAGGCGGGGAUGACGUCAAAUCAGCACGGCCCUUACAUCCGGGGCGACACACGUGUUACAAUGGCGUGGACAAAGGGAAGCCACCUGGCGACAGGGAGCGAAUCCCCAAACCACGUCUCAGUUCGGAUCGGAGUCUGCAACCCGACUCCGUGAAGCUGGAUUCGCUAGUAAUCGCGCAUCAGCCAUGGCGCGGUGAAUACGUUCCCGGGCCUUGUACACACCGCCCGUCAAGCCAUGGGAGCCGGGGGUACCUGAAGUCCGUAACCGAGAGGAUCGGCCUAGGGUAAAACUGGUGACUGGGGCUC
This 1434-nucleotide ribosomal RNA is filed under the name uncultured organism. RNAcentral's name for it is "SSU rRNA". It matches the Rfam family "Bacterial small subunit ribosomal RNA". The record is from RNAcentral.